RNAcentral lists this ribosomal RNA (391 nucleotides) under uncultured bacterium. Its description in RNAcentral is "bacterial SSU rRNA". It matches the Rfam family "Bacterial small subunit ribosomal RNA", at positions 28 to 424 of the family's 1533-position model. The record is from RNAcentral.
GACGAACGCUGGCGGCGUGCUUAACACAUGCAAGUCGAGCGAUGAAGCACCUUCGGGUGUGAAUUAGCGGCGAACGGGUGAGGAACACGUGAGAAAUCUGCCUUCAACUCUGGGAUAACUCCGGGAAACCGGGGCUAAUACCGGAUAUGAGCCUUGAUCGCAUGAUCGGGGCUGGAAAGUUUUUCGGUUGAAGAUGAUCUCGCGGCCUAUCAGCUUGUUGGUGAGGUAAUGGCUCACCAAGGCGACGACGGGUAGCCGGCCUGAGAGGGCGACCGGCCACACUGGGACUGAGACACGGCCCAGACUCCUACGGGAGGCAGCAGUGGGGAAUAUUGGGCAAUGGAGGAAACUCUGACCCAGCGACGCCGCGUGCGGGAUGAAGGCCUCGGUU